CAUAGUAUAUAUAUUCUUUAAAAUCCUGUAAAUAGACCAAUACUGACCUGUUUAAUGUUUGAACCACUUUUACAAAAGUUGCUUCCCUUUGAUUUAAACACGCCAUGAUCGGUCUGCAGAGGUCAAAAUAAAAUUAUGAAAAACAGAAGGACUUGCCUAGAUUUACAAGUAUAAGUUCAGAAAUGUUUGAAUGAUAUAAAGAGAACAGUAACAAUGUUUAUCAGCAUCAAGCAAACUAUGCAGGUCUUGCUGUCUAGGUCGUCAAACUGGUUGUGCAUUGACAACUCAAGCCCUCACAUGCGAGUACCAGUUUUGGGGAUGUUAACAGAGAAGAAGUGAGCAGUAUGUUGAUGGAUGACCUGUGCUUCAUUAGACUGCCUGAAUAACUUCUACUUUCUGGUGUAAAGAUGGCAUUGAAGUAUGAAUGGGUUAAAUGCUGCUACCCCGGUAGUCUAUUCAAUAUAGUGAAUGCUUGAAUCAAGAGAAUAGACUUAAGCCGUGUCGUAAUGAACAUGGUGUCCGCGUAGCGUUUGGGAGGUCACGAGUUCGAUCCCACUGUGGAGCGUUCUUUAAAUCUUCCCCCGAAGACACCAAGUACGGGUUCUAGUUCCACAAAACUGACUCGAGAGUAUUUCAAAUGAGCUUAAUGCUUUCGAUGCAAUCGAGCUAAACUUAACAGGUUUUAACUAAACUAAUAGCCUUCAUCAAUUGACAUCAAGACAACUGACGUAAAAACCUGGGGAAUCAAUAAAUAUGACGUCAAAUCAAAGGACAUUAAAACACAAAAGAAGGAUCAUCACUACAACUGACAUAAGCACUAUGGAUUUCAAAAUAAAUGAGUUUAAUACAAGAUUCCCUCCCCCCACGUGAAAGCUUUGUCAGUAUCGAUUUAUCGGUCUAUUUGAAUAAACAUUAGUCCGAUAUAUCAUGACUAAAAUGGGGACAGGUGUCAGAUGUGAGUUUGCUGAGGGUUUAAUAGAUGUAUCAAUGCAUUUUAGUAAGUAGUGUGAUGUUAAUCGAACGGCAAAUUUUGGGGCAACCAAGAAUGUGGACCUUCUGAAUAAGUCCCGAAAGUAGGUCAAUGUCAAGGUCAAAAUGAGGUCAUCUGAUGGGGGGUGUUGAUAGUUUUCAUAGAUAACAUCAAGCAAGUAACACAGCAUUGUAACAAACAGUAUUGAUAUUAGACGAAUAUCAUUUUGGGUUUUCCAAGACUUAGCCUAGUUCUACGUUUAAGUCAAAAAGAGGUCAGGGUGAUGUGCAAAUGUUAAGACAUAGAAUACAUAAAAUAUUAAAACUUUUUAGGAAGAGGUAUUGCUGUUAGACGAAACACGUCAUCUUGGGUUACCCUCGCAAGGACGGACGGAAUAACGAAAAGACCAAUUUCUAUAUGGCUCUCGGCAUUAGUACAUGCCGGACAUAAAAACAAGGACUGAACAAGAUCAGGCGACAUAAAGAAAUGGGCGUAUCACGACAAGGAGGAAUAAAGAUAAAGGGAUGUCAUUAUACAGAAGAGUAAUUAAAAAAAAAAAAACAAUGCAAGGGGAGAAUAAAGCCAAAAAGAAAAACAGAAAAAAAAUGUAAAUACAUCGGGAAUUUAAGACAGUGCAAUCGCGAAGAUAUUAAUACAGAUAAGGUGAAAUUAAAACCCAAUGAGAAAUAAAAAAAGAAAACCAGGGAAACAUUUUUUGUCGUUUUUUAUAAAUACAAUAAAAGGGUUAUUAAAUGAAAUAAAG
Molecule: long non-coding RNA, 1733 nt
Organism: Dreissena polymorpha
Lineage: Eukaryota; Metazoa; Mollusca; Bivalvia; Myida; Dreissenidae
Exons: 5
Source: RefSeq, a predicted model, not a curated record